AGUCGAACGCCCCGCAAGGGGAGUGGCAGACGGGUGAGUAACGCGUGGGAAUCUACCGUGCCCUGCGGAAUAGCUCCGGGAAACUGGAAUUAAUACCGCAUACGCCCUACGGGGGAAAGAUUUAUCGGGGUAUGAUGAGCCCGCGUUGGAUUAGCUAGUUGGUGGGGUAAAGGCCUACCAAGGCGACGAUCCAUAGCUGGUCUGAGAGGAUGAUCAGCCACAUUGGGACUGAGACACGGCCCAAACUCCUACGGGAGGCAGCAGUGGGGAAUAUUGGACAAUGGGCGCAAGCCUGAUCCAGCCAUGCCGCGUGAGUGAUGAAGGCCUUAGGGUUGUAAAGCUCUUUCACCGGAGAAGAUAAUGACGGUAUCCGGAGAAGAAGCCCCGGCU
Molecule: ribosomal RNA, 390 nt
Filed under: Agrobacterium tumefaciens
Lineage: Bacteria; Pseudomonadati; Pseudomonadota; Alphaproteobacteria; Hyphomicrobiales; Rhizobiaceae
Description: bacterial SSU rRNA
Rfam family: Bacterial small subunit ribosomal RNA
Source: RNAcentral